RNAcentral lists this long non-coding RNA (862 nucleotides) under Strongylocentrotus purpuratus (purple sea urchin). Its description in RNAcentral is "uncharacterized LOC115920949". The record is from RNAcentral. Lineage: Eukaryota; Metazoa; Echinodermata; Echinoidea; Camarodonta; Strongylocentrotidae.
AAUUUUUCUAUCUGUGAUGGAAGUUUUUAUGUACGAUUGCCUGAUCUGAAGACAAGACUUUCGCUGCAUGCAUAUUUAAUGUAUGACGUCACCCACACAGAGUGAGAGCUCGAGGUUUUCUUUGAAAGUUUGAUGGAAAAUGUACAGAGACUUGUCGCAGUUAAUGCAGUACCAAAUGCUUGCUUUCUUGGAGUAUGUGCUUGAAACAAGAAUGUCCUGGAGAAAAUAGACCACCACAAGAGAAGGGAUUGAGAAGGAGGGCUUCCUGUUGACAGAUCAGGGGGUGCCUUGAGGUUCCACUCUUGAUGUUCUGCCCCUUACCUGAAAGCGAUGACCUAUUGUGCCUGACAUAUUAGGAGCAAAGCACAAUGGACUGCUGGCUUAUUGGAAUUGGUUACAAAGAUACAAGUGGACUUGUCUGUAGUAGUUGCUGAAGAGGAGCAGUCAGCACAAGGAGCGUGUGCCUCCAAAACAACGUGGGAACUUCUCCCAAGUUCAUCUCAAAUCACAAGGCUCUUCAGGAAUCAAGAUGUAACAAUGGAGGUUGAGAAGGAGUUUGCGACCCUCCUGAUUUGGACUACUCGCUAUAUACAUUCUCAACAAUGGAUUGUAGCACUUCUGCACAAAACUCAACAAGUCAUGAUUGAGGAAAAUGCAACAAAUACUCAGUUGAGCAUUGAUUUAUGUGACUGGUAUUAGGGUAGGAUUCAGCUUGGUAAUUUUAUAUAAACUAUGUCCCAAAAGAACCUCAUUGGUCCUUAUGGUUCCACGCCACAAGCUGCUCCCUCCCCUGUUUCGGUAUACCGAACCCAGACUAUCAAGGGAUCAAAUGAAUUAAAAUCCACACUUGAUUACAAAUGAA